CCUGACUUCACCAACCCAGAGACCAGACAGUGGUGGGAAGACUGCAUCAGAGGUUUUCAUUCUAAAGUGCCUGUGGAUGGACUGUGGAUUGAUAUGAAUGAACCAGCCAAUUUUGUCCAGGGCUCAAUGGAGGGCUGUCCUCACACUGAUCUUGAAGACCCGCCUUACACACCUAGAGUAGUCGG
Molecule: long non-coding RNA, 185 nt
Organism: Solea senegalensis (Senegalese sole)
Lineage: Eukaryota; Metazoa; Chordata; Actinopteri; Pleuronectiformes; Soleidae
Exons: 3
Source: RefSeq, a predicted model, not a curated record